RNAcentral lists this ribosomal RNA (339 nucleotides) under Triticum aestivum (bread wheat). Its description in RNAcentral is "partial small subunit ribosomal RNA". The record is from RNAcentral. Lineage: Eukaryota; Viridiplantae; Streptophyta; Magnoliopsida; Poales; Poaceae.
AAGCCUCUGCUCCUCCAAACCAUGGGGCACGCCAUCUCCGGCGAGGGCUUCUUCUGCCUCCAGUACCCGGAUGAUUCGAGGGAGGAGCCGCAGAUCCAGCUGGGGGCCAACGCGGCUGUGCUCUCCAUGCCUGCCGGCGCGCUCACCCAAGAGAUUCUACAAGUGGAGCUGCCACACCUCUUCGAGGGCGAAUGGGACUGGCAGAUCUCAGCUAUGGAGGGAGGGGCGUUCUCGGUGGUCUUCCCUGAUCCGGUGAUGCUCCGGAUGGCAACCAGGAGCGGCAAGUUGUUCCUCUCCCUCAACAACCUCAUGGUGGACAUCCGCGAUGCGGUCCUCGAC